Molecule: transfer RNA, 75 nt
Filed under: Zetaproteobacteria bacterium
Lineage: Bacteria; Pseudomonadati; Pseudomonadota; Candidatius Mariprofundia
Also listed under: 1 other name
Description: tRNA-Met
Rfam family: tRNA
About the family: Transfer RNA (tRNA) molecules are approximately 80 nucleotides in length. Their secondary structure includes four short double-helical elements and three loops (D, anti-codon, and T loops).
Source: RNAcentral
CGCGGGGUGGAGCAGUGGUAGCUCGUCGGGCUCAUAACCCGAAGGUCGUCAGUUCAAGUCUGGCCCCCGCAACCA